Planococcus citri (citrus mealybug) is the source of this 1235-nucleotide RNA transcript. RefSeq lists it as uncharacterized. Lineage: Eukaryota; Metazoa; Arthropoda; Insecta; Hemiptera; Pseudococcidae. The transcript has 6 exons. The record is from RefSeq and is a predicted model, not a curated record.
CUUCAUUAUGCCCCUUUUCUUCAGUUGUUUUCUUGUAUCGUGCAGUGCAUUCCAAUACAGAAGUAGAUUUCUGCGUUAUUUCAUAAAAUAUCCUACUUCAAAAAUGACGCCACAUCGUCUGAUCUUGCUCGUAGUAUUGAAUUUAUGCUCAGCUAUUUCUUUCGAUUUGGAACUUUCUAAACUACCUCCUGGAAGUUUUAAUGGUAAUGUUGUAAUAUUCUACUUCAAGCAAAAUGUUUCCAUAAUUUGCAAUGGUAAAAGUGAAGUUGAGUGGAUAAUAGACACUACCGACCAAACCAAUAGUUCCGUACAAGUAGUUACACCUAGUGAAAAAAUUCUCAGAAUACGAAACGUCACAGGGUAUGACACUGGCGCCUACACAUGCAUCUCUAAAAACAACCCCGAGGUGUUCUGGAAGUUCUUCGUUCACGUUUUUGGUGACCGACCAGGGACUGAAAUUAUUGGAGAAGUGGAGUCCACGUACAAAUACGAACGCUACAUAUCACUGGAGAAGCGCUAGUACCUUUCAGGAAUGACUUGUCAAUGAUGAUUGACGACGAACAUGAUGGAGCGUCAUUCUGAUACGUGGAAGACAAAUGAAAAAAAAUUACGACUAUUGCACAGGAUACGAUAUGGACAUGAAACAUGGCCUUCUAUGCUGAGUUAAAUUAAUUUUUAAUUCUAGACUUGAAUAAAAUUUUUUAAAAAAAUGAAUUUUUGGACCUGAAAAAAUAAAGUUUUAUUGUAACUAGGUACUUAUUAUUUAAUAAAGAUAUUUAAUUUCAUGGAAAAUACGUCUUUAAAGCUAAGAUGAAACAUGCACAUGCACGGAAAGUACUCGUAGUUACUUUCCUCCCCAUAACUGUUUUCCACGCUUGUGUCUGAAUUUACAUUUUUUUUUUAAUUUCCACAUUUAUUUUCCUCUCAUAUGAAAUUUAAAUAGUAUACGCGACAGGAUUGGACAGAAACGCGAUUAACUCGUGUCACGUAUAGUCUGGAAAGCGAAGAAUAUCAAGUCGAAUCUUCGAUACACAACUGAGCACCUACGAAUAGGAAUUGACGAAAUCAUUUUAGAAACUUAGAAACUGUGUAUAUGUAAGUAAUAUAGGUACAUUGAAUCUCUUUUCUUAUAGUAUGUGAGCCAUUUAUAAUAUACGAAAUUUCAAAAACUAUAGGUUUCAUAAUUUAUUGUACUAUAGGAAUUAGCUAAAGUUGAGUAAAUGAUUUUGCCAAUU